Molecule: signal recognition particle RNA, 262 nt
Filed under: Lachnospiraceae bacterium
Lineage: Bacteria; Bacillati; Bacillota; Clostridia; Lachnospirales; Lachnospiraceae
Description: signal recognition particle sRNA large type
Rfam family: Bacterial large signal recognition particle RNA
About the family: The signal recognition particle (SRP) is a universally conserved ribonucleoprotein involved in the co-translational targeting of proteins to membranes. Archaeal SRP consists of a 7S RNA and homologues of the eukaryotic SRP19 and SRP54 proteins. In most bacteria, the SRP consists of a 4.5S RNA and the Ffh protein (a homologue of the eukaryotic SRP54 protein).
Source: RNAcentral
CCGUGCAGCCGGGGAGGUAGCGGUUCCCUGUACCCACAAUCCGCUUGGUGGGGGUGAUGGUUUGCCGAGGGUUAAUGACCUUUAUGGCUGCCCUAUAUAAGUGAUGUUGAUAUCCGGGUCUUGCGCAAUAUGUGCCUGCGAACCGUGUCAGGGUGGGAACGCAGCAGCACUAAGCGGGAUUUCAUAUGUGCCGCGAGGGUGCCUGGAUGGAGUUAACUGUAUAGGUAACGCGUACUGGUGUCGCUCGAAGCAGACCGCACGG